Poecilia latipinna (sailfin molly) is the source of this 715-nucleotide long non-coding RNA. RefSeq lists it as uncharacterized. The transcript has 3 exons. The record is from RefSeq and is a predicted model, not a curated record. NCBI's taxonomy places the organism in Eukaryota, Metazoa, Chordata, Actinopteri, Cyprinodontiformes, Poeciliidae.
GCAAAUUUAUAUUUAUGCAUGUUUGUGCAGGGUGGACAGUGUUCUGAAGCAGAUGGCAGAAAUCCGAGACCACGACCGAAGGCUGCGUCUACUUGAGACGCAGCUGGAUUACUGCUGCAGCGCCCUCUCCUGGAUGACUGAAGCUAUGCGUCAAAGUAAUGUGGUCACAACUAAUCGGCCUCCUCCACUCCACAAAGAUGUUACCCAGCUGUCUUCAACCUGAACUUCAUGGUCACAUGCUAAUGCAGAAUUACUUUUGUAUCAUGGGCAUUUUAAUUCUGUGGACCACUGCUGAACACAACAAUCUCUUGAUUAACCCUAGCUCCUGUUCUGGCUAAACAUAACUAUCUGCUUAAACACUAAUCAUGGGGCUUUUUUUGCAACCCAAAGUCAUGGAUCAGUGAAUGUUUACUUUGUCAAAGACAGAGCACUCAGGACAUUUAUGUUGCAAAAUCUAUAGUUUCCUAUCCUGUCAUGUUUUUUUGCAUGAUGUAUCUAUAUUUUCUAUAUAUAGUCUAUAUUUUCUGCUGCUUAAUGGAAAGGCCAGCAUGCAAUCUAACUCUUUUACUUUUUUUAAUUUGUUUUCAGAGCUAAAUUAUGCACUGGUCUUUGGUCAUUGAAGAGCAGCUAUAACUAGUUAUGCUACCAAAGAUUGCCAUGUAAAAAUGAAUUUAAAUAUUCAUGGUCAUAUGAAAUAAAAAGGGACCAUCUCUGG